RNAcentral lists this small nuclear RNA (176 nucleotides) under Carassius auratus (goldfish). RNAcentral describes it as "U2 spliceosomal RNA (ENSCARG00000043160.1)". It matches the Rfam family "U2 spliceosomal RNA". Rfam says of the family: U2 is a small nuclear RNA (snRNA) component of the spliceosome (involved in pre-mRNA splicing). Complementary binding between U2 snRNA (in an area lying towards the 5' end but 3' to hairpin I) and the branchpoint sequence (BPS) of the intron results the bulging out of an unpaired adenosine, on the BPS, which initiates a nucleophilic attack at the intronic 5' splice site, thus starting the first of two transesterification reactions that mediate splicing. Lineage: Eukaryota; Metazoa; Chordata; Actinopteri; Cypriniformes; Cyprinidae. The record is from Rfam by way of RNAcentral.
AAAACUUUUUUCGAAAGAAAAAAAUCUGUUCUUAUCAGUUUAAUAUCUGAUACGUCCCCCAUCCGGGGACUACAUAUUAAAUGGAUUUUUAGAUCACGGAGCUGGAGCCGGGGCUUGCUCCGUCCACUCCAUGCAUCGGCCUGGUAUUGCAGUGUCUCCAGGACGGUGUGCUUUCC